Molecule: long non-coding RNA, 946 nt
Organism: Scophthalmus maximus (turbot)
Lineage: Eukaryota; Metazoa; Chordata; Actinopteri; Pleuronectiformes; Scophthalmidae
Exons: 3
Source: RefSeq, a predicted model, not a curated record
UAACACCGGAGCGGGUUUCCAAAACCUGGAGGCGGACUUCCAUCCCGCCGAGGGGAGGACUGCAUGUUGAUCGGAGCGGCGAGGACCGGGUCUUCGUCCCGUCGGUCGGCGUAUGUUUAGAGUCUUGGUUUUUAAGAGCGGCGUUGGCGACAGCAGCUCCUCUUCGGAGAACUUUCUUGGGCGAUGAAGCGACGGCAGGAACUGCGGCUGGAUCCUGGUCCGGACCCGAGUGUGACUCUGCAGCAACAAGAAGAACGGCAGCAGACACUCGCAGAGGAGGAAACAGUGGAAGUGGACUGACGCGUCUCUGGUGUCUGCGUCUAUCACGGACACGAAGGCGUUGACCGCUACUGCCCCGUGAAGCAGUCGCCACUGGAGGUCAGCCAGCUUCUUGGUCAGUGGAGGCUUGUACAAGCUACUCCAGGCCGGCGAGACCUCAGCUCCCAGGUGCAGAUGACCACGCCAAGGCUAGGUUUCAGACUUUGACCCAGGGCACAGUCUCCUGGUUGAAAACCAUGUGGGCGAUUCCUUCCUGGUGAGGGUAAAGCAACGACUGUAUAACCUGUCAAUGAUACUCAGAAAGUACGUACUUCUGUUUCAAUCCCUGUAAUUGUGUUACAUCUGUAGUUUCUGCAUCAUCACUAUGAACGGAGUCACUACAGUCACUAUAAGAAUAAGUCAUGUACAUAUACAAUUGUAGUCUCCUGUCCUCCCUUCUCCCCCUCUUUCUGCCCACCUCUCCUCCCCCACAUUUUUCUCCUCUCACCCCAACUGGUCGAGGCAGAUGAGUCCGACUGAGUCCGGUUCUGCCAGAAAUGUCUUCCUGUUGUUUUUCUCCGUGGUCCCAAAGUGUUUGCUCAUUGUGGGAACUGUUGUGUUUCUCUGUAAUAUUGUGAGGUCUCGACCUCACUAUGUAAAGUGCCUUGAGAUAAUGUGUGUUGUGAUU